UAAUAGAUUCCAAAACUUGACGCAGUGAAGUAAGAGAACGAGAAACAGUAAGUGAAAUACGAGUCUCGAUUUUAACAUCUUCAGGUAAAUCAUCGAAAUUAACCGGAGGAAGAAGAUGAUAAUCCAUGGAAGAAGGAAGCGAGUUCAGAAAAAUUUUCUGAGCGUUAGAAAUUGGGCCAUCAGUAGGGAGAAUCAGAGAAACAGAAAAGUGAUGAUGGAGAAAAAUUCUCUUAGCAAAUUCGACAAGAGGGAUUAAAUGACCCAUACCAGGAGAAGGUAAAAUUGCUAUAUGAGGAAUUUGCGCCAUUGUUGAGAAGAUGAACUCUGGUUCAACAAAAGAGAGAAGAAGUGAAAAAUAGAAGUGAA
RNAcentral lists this unclassified non-coding RNA (366 nucleotides) under Hevea brasiliensis (rubber tree). The record is from RNAcentral. Lineage: Eukaryota; Viridiplantae; Streptophyta; Magnoliopsida; Malpighiales; Euphorbiaceae.